GACGAACGCUGGCGGCGUGCUUAACACAUGCAAGUCGAACGGAGUGGCGAACGGGUGAGUAACACGUGGGUGACCUGCCCUGCAAUUCGGGAUAAGCCUGGGACAAUGGGUCUAAUACCGGAUAGUGUGGGAUGGGCCCGGGGCCUAUCUGCUUGUUGGUGGGGUAAUGGCCUACCACGGCGGCGACGGGUAGCCGGCCUGGGAGGGUGGACGGCCACAGUGGGCCUGAGACACGGCCCAGACGCCUACGGGAGGCAGCAGUGGGGAGUAUUGCACAAUCGGCGGAAGCCUGAUGCAGCGACGCCGCGUGGGGGAUGACGGCCGUCGGGUUUUAAACUCCUUUUACCAUCGACGCGGUAGAUGGAGAAGAAGCACCGGCUAACUACGUGCCAGCAGCCGCGGUAAUUC
This 408-nucleotide ribosomal RNA is filed under the name uncultured bacterium. Its description in RNAcentral is "partial 16S ribosomal RNA". It matches the Rfam family "Bacterial small subunit ribosomal RNA", at positions 28 to 526 of the family's 1533-position model. The record is from RNAcentral.